UACAGAGGUCCCGAGCGUUGUUCGGAUUCACUGGGCGUAAAGGGUGCGUAGGUGGUGAGGUAAGUCGGAUGUGAAAUCUCCAAGCUCAACUUGGAAACUGCAUUGGAAACUACCUUGCUAGAGGAUUUGAGGGGGGAUUGGAAUACUUGGUGUAGCAGUGAAAUGCGUAGAUAUCAAGUGGAACACCAGUGGCGAAGGCGAAUCCCUGGAAAAUACCUGACACUGAGGCACGAAAGCGAGGGGAGCAAACAGG
This 253-nucleotide ribosomal RNA is filed under the name uncultured bacterium. RNAcentral describes it as "partial 16S ribosomal RNA". It matches the Rfam family "Bacterial small subunit ribosomal RNA", at positions 524 to 776 of the family's 1533-position model. The record is from RNAcentral.